This 242-nucleotide ribosomal RNA is filed under the name uncultured bacterium. RNAcentral's name for it is "partial 16S ribosomal RNA". It matches the Rfam family "Bacterial small subunit ribosomal RNA", at positions 524 to 765 of the family's 1533-position model. The record is from RNAcentral.
GACAGAGGGUGCAAACGUUGUUCGGAAUUACUGGGCGUAAAGCGCGUGUAGGCGGCCAACUAAGUCGGGCGUGAAAUCCCACGGCUCAACCGUGGAAGUGCACUCGAAACUGGAUGGCUAGAGUCCUGGAGAGGAAGGUGGAAUGCUUGGUGUAGAGGUGAAAUUCGUAGAUAUCAGGAGGAACACCAGUGGCGAAGGCGGCUUUCUGGACGAUAACUGACGCUGAGACGCGAAAGCGUGGG